RNAcentral lists this long non-coding RNA (466 nucleotides) under Homo sapiens (human). Its description in RNAcentral is "non-protein coding PCBP1-AS1:299". The record is from RNAcentral. Lineage: Eukaryota; Metazoa; Chordata; Mammalia; Primates; Hominidae.
GAACACAAAAUGGCGACACGUGGUUAGCAUUCGUCGCCAACGAGAAAUUGGGGUCGGCCCGAAAGCUCUAGAAUGCACCCCUCUUCCUCCCCGGGGCCUUCCACCUCCGCGAGUUUUAUGACUUAAAAAAGCCCACAGGCUGGUCUGAAGACUUCCUAGCAUGGGCUGUUGUGCUGGAGAGAACGAGAGCUACGAAGAGACUACAGUGCCUCUGACUUUUUCAUAGGACAGUUGGCCGAGGAAGACAAACAUAAAGAUGAAGUGCUUAAUUCAAGGUCACACAAUGUCGGGGAUGGACCUCCAGAUUUCCUUACUGACCUGCAUUAUCUUGUGGAUACCUGAGUGAAUUCCACACCACCCAUUUUAUAGAUGAAACCACUGAGACAUGGAGCAAUUGACUGAGUAGUCACUGCCCCACCCCUGCCUGGAGCCUCACACAUGACUCGCCUCCUCUCAGUGACCACAG